Molecule: long non-coding RNA, 863 nt
Organism: Bos taurus (domestic cattle)
Lineage: Eukaryota; Metazoa; Chordata; Mammalia; Artiodactyla; Bovidae
Source: Ensembl
CCCCCAGGGUCAUCCAGGUGACUCCACACCGGGAUUUCUCCCCUUCACCUAUGCUUCCUCGUAAGCCUCAUAGGACCCUUGUAACUGCAGAGGUGUUUAUUCCCCUCCCAGGUAGGGGAGACUGAGGGCCUGAGAAGAGAAGAGCCUGCCAGAUCUCUCACGAUCCCAGCUUGCCGCUGUAAAGAUAAUUCCUGCUCCAAGCGGAAGACAGAGGCUUCUUGUUUGUUUUCCUAACAGUAGUAGAGGCUGCUAUGCUGUGAGGAAGCCCAAGUCACCCCCCAGAGAAGCCCACAUGGAGAGGAACCGAGGCCCCCAGCCUACAGUUUUCAGACCAUAGCCAGCACUAGCUUGCCAGUUGGAUGGGUGAGCCAUCUUGGAGAUGGCUCCUCGCGCCCCCGGAGCAAAGAUGAGCCCCGCCUACCUUCAGAUCAUAAAGGAAAUAGACCACGAUUGCUAUUAGCUGGUUUUCCUGCACUGCAAUUGAUAAUCAGGACACUUGCCAUUGGCCGGAAGACUAUCACACGGGGACCUCUGACUGCAAAAGAGACUGAGAAAUGAGCGGGCACAUAGAGAGAACACGCAGGGUUUUCUUGGCGUAGAAGGGAAUGGAGUGUAGGCAGCUGACUUUGCUAAACAGGCAUCAGUAACAUUUUAUCAACUUCAUGGUUGACGUGCCCGUCACCUCUAUCACUUGUCUUCACUUAAAAAAUGUGUUUACCCCAGAAAGCAUGCUUUCCACAUGCAAAGAGCAGGCACUCCAUCUGUGUUUAUAAAUUAUGCAUGUAUAAUAACUAAAUAUGUAAUUAAUGUUAAAAUCUUACAGAAAAGACAAAUUUUGAAAUGGAUUUUUAAAGUGAUUAAAC